Molecule: ribosomal RNA, 397 nt
Filed under: uncultured bacterium
Lineage: Bacteria
Description: bacterial SSU rRNA
Rfam family: Bacterial small subunit ribosomal RNA
Source: RNAcentral
UAUUGCGCAAUGGGGGCAACCCUGACGCAGCAACGCCGCGUGAAGGAAGAAGGCCUUCGGGUUGUAAACUUCUUUGAUCGGGGACGAAACUGACGGUACCCGAGGAACAAGCCACGGCUAACUACGUGCCAGCAGCCGCGGUAAUACGUAGGUGGCAAGCGUUGUCCGGAAUUACUGGGCGUAAAGGGCGUGUAGGCGGGGCGGCAAGUCAGGUGUGAAAUCCCGGGGCUUAACUCCGGAGCUGCAUCUGAAACUGCUGUUCUUGAGUGCUGGAGAGGAAAGUGGAAUUCCCAGUGUAGCGGUGAAAUGCGUAGAGAUUGGGAGGAACACCAGUGGCGAAGGCGGCUUUCUGGACAGUAACUGACGCUGAGGCGCGAAAGCGUGGGGAGCAAACAGG